Molecule: long non-coding RNA, 359 nt
Filed under: Musa acuminata (dwarf banana)
Lineage: Eukaryota; Viridiplantae; Streptophyta; Magnoliopsida; Zingiberales; Musaceae
Description: long non-coding RNA (MACU_LNC007003)
Source: RNAcentral
GAAUUCAUGAAUCAUCAGCCACGAGGACAAGGCUGAUUUGAAGAGGGCGGGUCUGUUAGGACUCUAGCUUGGAGAGUCCUAAUUGAGAGGGACAUUCAUGUAAAACUGUUAGGACUCUAGCUAAGAGAGUCCUAAUUGAGAGGGACAUUCUAUUAGGACUCUAGCUAGGAGAGUCCUAAUUGAGAGGGGCAUUCAUGUAGGAGGUUUUUUCUUAUAGAAGAAUUAGGAGUUGUAAGGGAAUAGGAGUCUUGAGUAGGAGUCAUAUUAGGAGUUGGUUAGAAGUAAGAGUCUUAAGUAGGAGUCCUAUUAGGAGUUAGGGUUUAGAAGCCCUAUAAAUAGUCAUGUAUUCCUUCUCUUUU